RNAcentral lists this long non-coding RNA (494 nucleotides) under Monodelphis domestica (gray short-tailed opossum). Its description in RNAcentral is "lncRNA (ENSMODG00000030482.2)". The record is from RNAcentral. Lineage: Eukaryota; Metazoa; Chordata; Mammalia; Didelphimorphia; Didelphidae.
AUGAUGGCAAGAUCAAGGAAUUGUUCUUUGUAUAUACCUGAAGGUGGAGCCGAAGAGAAGAUCAUGGAAAAUGGGGCACGGUUCCAAGGCAACUCUUUGUUCAUGGAUGUGGUCCAUAAUGGAGGGAAGAUAAUGAGAAUUUGGCUCGUAAUUAAGAAGCAGCAUGGUGCAGUCGAAAUUGGAAUCAGAGGACCUAUGGUAAGUUCUACUUCUGAUUUGGCUCUUUAUAGCCUUGUGAUUGUAGAUGAGUCAGAUUAAUGACUCUUGGGAUCAGUUGCCUCAAAUGUAAAAUGAAGAUCAUAGUGAUUCCUGACUACUUCACAGGGUUGUUAUGAGGGCUAAAUGAGAUUAUAUAUGGGAAAGAACUUUGUCAUCAGACUGGCUAGAUAACAUUUGAAGGAUUGUUAUUUUUCAGUCUUGGUUUGAUGAAGAGAACAGUGCUUUUUCUAGUCCUGGAAAAUAAAAUGGGCUUGCUCUUUGUGCUGAAUUCUUAC